GAUGAACGCUGGCGGCGUGCUUAACACAUGCAAGUCGAACGGAAAGGCCAGCGCUUGCACUGGUACUCGAGUGGCGAACGGGUGAGUAACACGUGGGUGAUCUGCCCUGCACUUCGGGAUAAGCUUGGGAAACUGGGUCUAAUACCGGAUAGGACCACUUCGUUGUUGUUGUGGUGGAAAGUUUUUUCGGUGUGGGAUGAGCUCGCGGCCUAUCAGCUUGUUGGUGGGGUAAUGGCCUACCAAGGCGUCGACGGGUAGCCGGCCUGAGAGGGUGUACGGCCACAUUGGGACUGAGAUACGGCCCAGACUCCUACGGGAGGCAGCAGUGGGGAAUAUUGCACAAUGGGCGGAAGCCUGAUGCAGCGACGCCGCGUGGGGGAUGACGGCCUUCGGGUUGUAAACUCCUUUCGCCAAAGACGAAUUUUGACGGUAUUUGGAGAAGAAGCACCGGCUAACUACGUGCCAGCAGCCGCGGUAAUACGUAGGGUGCGAGCGUUGUCCGGAAUUACUGGGCGUAAAGAGCUCGUAGGUGGUUUGUCGCGUCGUUUGUGUAAGCCCAUGGCUUAACUGUGGGACUGCAGGCGAUACGGGCAUAACUUGAGUGCUGUAGGGGAGACUGGAAUUCCUGGUGUAGCGGUGAAAUGCGCAGAUAUCAGGAGGAACACCGAUGGCGAAGGCAGGUCUCUGGGCAGUUACUGACGCUGAGGAGCGAAAGCAUGGGGAGCGAACAGGAUUAGAUACCCUGGUAGUCCAUGCCGUAAACGGUGGGCGCUAGGUGUGAGUCCUUUCCACGGGGUUCGUGCCGUAGCUAACGCAUUAAGCGCCCCGCCUGGGGAGUACGGCCGCAAGGCUAAAACUCAAAGGAAUUGACGGGGGCCCGCACAAGCGGCGGAGCAUGUGGAUUAAUUCGAUGCAACGCGAAGAACCUUACCUGGGCUUGACAUACACCGGAUCGCUGCAGAGAUGUAGUUUCCCUUGUGGCUGGUGUACAGGUGGUGCAUGGUUGUCGUCAGCUCGUGUCGUGAGAUGUUGGGUUAAGUCCCGCAACGAGCGCAACCCUUGUCUUAUGUUGCCAGCAUUUGGUUGGGGACUCAUGAGAGACUGCCGGGGUUAACUCGGAGGAAGGUGGGGAUGACGUCAAAUCAUCAUGCCCCUUAUGUCCAGGGCUUCACAUAUGCUACAAUGGUCGGUACAACGCGCAGCGAGCCUGUGAGGGUGAGCGAAUCGCUGAAAGCCGGUCGUAGUUCGGAUUGGGGUCUGCAACUCGACCCCAUGAAGUCGGAGUCGCUAGUAAUCGCAGAUCAGCAACGCUGCGGUGAAUACGUUCCCGGGCCU
Molecule: ribosomal RNA, 1335 nt
Filed under: uncultured bacterium
Lineage: Bacteria
Description: bacterial SSU rRNA
Rfam family: Bacterial small subunit ribosomal RNA
Source: RNAcentral